This 248-nucleotide ribosomal RNA is filed under the name uncultured bacterium. Its description in RNAcentral is "partial small subunit ribosomal RNA". It matches the Rfam family "Bacterial small subunit ribosomal RNA", at positions 26 to 288 of the family's 1533-position model. The record is from RNAcentral.
AGAAUCAACGCUGGCGGCGUGCCUAACACAUGCAAGUCGAACGAGAAAGGGUAGCAAUACCUGAGUAAAGUGGCGUACGGGUGAGUAACACGUGACUAACCUACCCUGGAGUGGGGGAUAACUGAGGGAAACCUUAGCUAAUACCGCAUAACACCUACGGGUCAAAGGAGCAAUUCGCUUCAGGAGGGGGUCGCGGCCGAUUAGUUAGUUGGCGGGGUAAUGGCCCACCAAGACAGUGAUCGGUAUCC